RNAcentral lists this long non-coding RNA (33708 nucleotides) under Vitis vinifera (wine grape). RNAcentral's name for it is "long non-coding RNA (VVIN_LNC001602)". Lineage: Eukaryota; Viridiplantae; Streptophyta; Magnoliopsida; Vitales; Vitaceae. The record is from RNAcentral.
AUUUUGAAAGUAAAUUAUUUUCAGCAUAACGCAAAAAAAAAAAACAUUAAAAAAUGAUUUUAAUUUUUUUUAAAAUUUUUUUAUGGGGUAGACAUCGUCUUCCGGUUAUUGAUAUUAUGUAAUUCGUGAACUUCUUUUAAUCAAGUAUGACUUAAAGCCAUGAAGUUUUAGACCUAGAAUAGAUGAUAUCCACUCAAAAGGGAAAAAAAAUAAAAAAAUCCUUAUAACCUUUUUUUUGAAUGAUGUUAAUUUGCUAUUUUCCUUUACCAUAUAAUCUUACAAGUUAUACCUUAAAAUAAUGAUCGAAUUUACAAUUUUGAUGUCCAAUUUUCAAAUAAACAUAUUCAGGAUGUUAAAAAAUCGAGACUCAUAAUAAAGACUAUUUCUAACAUGUAAAUAUGUCAAAAUGGUGACUUUUAAUUGUAUAGACAAAUUUUAAAAUAAUAAAAAUUAUGAAUGAUAAUAGGGUAAGAGUCGCUUAUGUCCUGACCCACGCAUAUCAUUUAAACUUAUUUUUAUUCCCGACUUAUAUUAUUUAAACCUAUUAUUAUUUUGUAAAAAAAAAACAAAAUGAACUUUCAUUACAUUUAAAAUAAAUAAUUAUAUACAAUUGGAAAAUUAUAGAAUACAAUACCCAAAUUCGCCCCAAACCCGAUGCAAGAUUUUUUAAAAGAAAUCUCAAUCCCUCAUCAUACCCAACUCAUCAUGUACUCCAAAAGAAAUGUCCCUUGUCAUCCUAGUAAAUAUCGGUGGAAACAUACACAAAAGGCCGUAAAAGAAGCCUUUAUAAGAUGUAUGUUGUGUCAUUUGGAAAAUCACCAAGGGUAUUUUUGGUAUUUCGUGUCACAAAAUAGUUGUUAUCUCCAACUUGGACCCUGUGACCAGUGGUGCAUCAUGUGACCACGAAGUAGCUGCGUAAUGCGCCAUCCACCUGGUCGGUCCAGCUAUGAUUCCAUGUUUGCCACUCCACCCUAAUACCAUGCAACAUCACGUAAUCACCUCAUCAUAACCACUCAUCCAGUCUCAUCAUUGCGAAUCAUUUCAGCUUCGGCUUAAACCCCAUGAGCCCCACCCUCAACUAUUGAUUACCAUCCCGACCAGGAUAUCGAUUCAUCAUAAUCAGGCUUUUCAGGUUUAGGUGUGAUGGCAAAUCUCGGCCGUUGAAAGCAUCAUAUAAGGGGUGGUGCGGUGUGAGUGUGGAACACUCUACUCUGUUUUCUCCACCUAUUCUCAUUUCACCUUUAAAGGGCUUUGAAGGCAAUUAUUCAAAAGCAACUACCCCCACUCUACAUCACAUAUACAUAUUUUUCUUUUUCUUUUUCUUUUUCUUUUUGAUAUAAUUUUUAUAUAAAUAAUAAAUAAAUAGAUGAAAAAUAUUUUUUAUGAGAUUUUUAAGUGGUUUUUAUUUUUUGAAAAAAUUAUAUAUAUACACAUAUUUUAUAUAAAUUUUGACACCAAUUAAAUUGUCAUAAUAAUAAUUAAAACUUUUUUUAAAUCUUUAUUUUUCAUAGAAUUUAUACUAUUUUAAUAUUGUAUUAAUAUAUUAUGUGUAAAACUUUGAUUGAAAAUGUUUUUUAAAAUUUAUUUUUAAAAAUUGUUUAUAGAAAACAAUGGCUAAAGAAUUUUAUAAAAUUUUAAAAACAGGAAACUAUUUUCAAAUCACACGACCAAACACAUUCAUGUAUUUUUGGAAUAAUGGUUCUCAAUUAGAAGAUUUACUUCAAAUAAUAUUACACCAUUAAAUUAUAUUUUAUUGUCAUUUUUAACUUGAUGACAAGAUAAAAUAAUUAUUUAAUUAAUGGGUAUUACCAUAUAAAUAAAAUAAAAACAUAUUUAAAACAUUAUAACUAAAAUUCCUUUCUUUUUUUUUUUGUUUUCUUUAGUUGCAACUUUACAAAUAUUUUCAAUAAUUGCAUGAUUUUCAAUUUCUUUUGUAUUUUAAUAUCACAAAAUUUUGUUUGUGGAUUGUUUCUUGUCCAUCCAAACUCAAAUAUCAAAUAUUAUUUUUUUUAGUUAUUUAUAGUAAAUAUACCAUACACUCAUAUACACUUCAAAAAAUUUUAAAAUAUUUUUAAUUAUUAUUGAGCAUAUCAUAAAUAAUUUUAGUAACAAAUAUUAAAAAAAGUUAUUAAUUUUGUUUUAAAUAAAAAAUAAUAAUUUUUAAAAAAUGUUUUUACUUAUAGGUGUUAUCAUAUUUAUAUGAUAUUUUACAUCGAAGAUGAGAGAAAAUUUUUGACGUUAUAUAAAUAUAAAUUUAUCUUAACAUUAUAGAUGUGAUUUAUCUUGAUCUUAUAGAUGUAUUUUAAAGUUGUAAAAGCCUUCGAGUUAAUAGCAAGUUGUGUAGUUUCUAUGCUUGAUUGGUAUUCAAAUCGGGAAACUUUUAGAUUUUUAUAUACUAAGUUAUAAAUUUAUAUUAAAAAUAAAAGUAGUUAAUUACUAAAUUGAGAAAAAUUACUAUAAUAAAAAAACGAUAAAUAGGUAAGAAUUGCACCACCCUUUCCUAUUUGGUUUUUUAUUCCACCUUUUUCUUUCUUAUUUUGAUUCCACCAUCUCUCUCUCUCUCUCUCUCUCUCUCUCUCUCUCCUUUCUUAGACUCCACUUUUCCAUUCCUAUUCCCAUUCCAAUUCCAAUCCUUCUUUCUCUUACUAAAACCACACUCGCUUUUGCUUUUUUUUUUCUAUUUUUCCCUGGGAAAUCAGGAGAAAACCGUUCAACAGGCGAUUCUUUGAUUCUCUCUCUUCAAUCUCUCCGCACAAUUCUUAGAUUCCAAACACUUCCUGAAUUUGUUGUCCUCUGCCCUAAUUCGAGCAAUUUCCCUCGCUUUCCCGCCAGCCAAACACGCGUCUUUGAUCCAAUUGUGGUAGGGUUUUUGUGGUUUGGGGUCUGGAAGGAUGGACUCCGAGGACGAUAUGCACGAUGCUAACGAUGUCGACUCUUUGGAGGACUUCUACAGCGGCGACACCGCGGCCGACUCCGACGACGACAACGACGCCGAUUACGACUUCGACAACGAUUCCGAUGACGACGCCGACGCCAUCAUGUUGCAUCGCCAUCAGGUCUGGUCGAUUCCGGAUUGAAGCUGUGGGCUUUGUUUUUUUUAUUCAUGUUUGGCCCUGGAAGAAAAAGUUGUCGGCUUUUCCCGGAAAGCUGAGUUCUUUUUCUUUGUUUACCUUUUUGUUUAGUCGCAUGCUGAUUUCUUGAUUUAACCUUUUGCCGUAUCGGUGCUCCGUCAGCUGCGUUUGUGCAAAUUUUUGUGUGGGUAUUUGGCUAAUUGAUUUUGGAUUUUUUUAUUUUAUGAUUACUUCAAGAGUUUAUAGCUGUUUAGGCUAUUUUUCUGAACUAGAAAUGAUGUCCUGUUUCUUUAUCUGCUGUUUGGUUGCUGAGAAAACUUGAGAAAAGAGAAGAAAGAGAUAAUUCUUGAAUGGGAUUUUUGUACCAUGCUGGUUUAGGCUCAGGAAGGUCUUUAUUUAAAUUAUCUCUGCAUGUUUGCCAAGAAAACAAAGGAACUAUAAAACUCGGAAAGGAAUAAUUUAAGUGCUUGGGAUUGUUAAAGGGGCUGCAGAUGCUGAUUCUUUUAAGUUUUGUCUACGGGAACUUUUUGUGGGUUUGAAUAAUGUUGCAACAUUGGGCGAUUGCUGUUUAAAUUUCUUACUAUAAUGGUUAACCUAUCUGAUCAAGUUAAUCUAUAUAACUUUUCCUUCUAAGUUUUACCAAUGUUGUUUUGGAUUUCAGCCUAAUUAUACCAUCUUAAAGGAAGAAGAUAUACAUCAGCAUCAGGAAGAUGAUAUUGCAAGAGUAGCUGCUGUUCUUUCAAUAGCAAGUGUUUCAGCGAGCAUCCUGCUCCGCCACUACCAUUGGUAAACUUUUUGCUCAAUGGUGCUUGUCACAUUUAGUUGAUAUCAAGGUGCAGAUAUCCUUUUUUCUCAUUUCAGUGUUUUUAUGCUUGAUUGCGCAAUCUCAUUUUUAUAUGCAAGUUCAUUUGGACUGAUGUCUAGAAUACCUGUGCACUUUACAUGUAAGGUUAGCUAUGAAUUGUAGUUGUAGCAAUAUUUUUCUUGCUACAUUCUUGUUGAGGCUGUAGUGCCAUUUCUUCUGGCAUUUUAUCCUUCUAAAAGAGAGUUGGCCUUGCAGGAGUGUUAGUAAAGUCAAUGAUGAAUGGUUUGCUGAUGAAAGUAGAGUCCGGAAAGCUGUUGGCUUAUUGGAAGAACCACUUGUUCGAUAUCCCAAUGCUAAAGAAGUAAGCUUUCGUUCAUUUCAGAAAGUAAUUUGAGUUUUGCUGAACCAGUGGUUCAUUUUGUGGCUCUAAUAUAAUUUGUCUACAUGGUUGAAAAUAAUGAGUUUCUGGAAUUCUUUUGUCUAAAUUUUGGAGUUUGGAGCCGAUUUUUAUAUCUUGUUUUCUUUUUUGGAUUCUUGUCUCCUUGAGUUAGUAAUGGAACUCUUGAAAUGUUCUGUUGACAGCUGACUUGUGGGAUCUGUUUUGAAACCUAUCCUCGUGAUAUGAUACAAUCAGCUGCUUGUGGUCAUCCAUUUUGUAGCACAUGCUGGGAAGGUUUGCGAAUAUACUCUAUACUUUAGAAUCUUAUUUUGUGGCUGGUAUAUAAAUUAAGUAUCCUGUUCUGAUUGUUUAUAUGUACCACUUCAUUUAGUGAUUUUUAAACUGCUGGUUGUGGGUGUGUUGGACAUUUCAUUUGGGAUAAAUUUCUUGUUCUGAUUGUUUGUAUGUACAACUUCAUAUAUAUUAACAUAUGUUUUUGAUCUACAGUAAAAAUUUGUGCUAUGUAUUUAGAAAUACACUAAAUAGGUGUGUAUUGUUAGUACAUGGGAACUAUAAAAGAGAGACUUAAGAGAAACAAGAACAAAAACCAACAUUGAGUCUUCACCAAAUCUUCCUUCUUUGCUUCCUCGACAGUCACAAUAUUCUGAAGAAUAUAAUUUUUCUUAGCUUCCUAUCUGUCUCUGAAUUUGAAUCCAUUCUUCUCUUGAUGCACCCCAUAUCUUGUUGUCUCCACCUGCAUUCUCAAAUUGUUUUAUGGAUUUGCCUUUGAAACCUCCUAGGAAACCCACAGCAGCUUACAAAGGUCCAUCUCUGCUUUUAACCCAUUUAGAGACUCUCCUGAUCCAACUCAACAGCACUUCUGGAGUUCUCAUGAGCCAUUCAUCAUCCAUGGCAACCUGAAGAGGAUCCUUCCAAAAAUGAAUUUCACCCCUCAGCAAAUCCUUGAAGAGUAGCUCUCAAGGGACGCUCAUCAUCCAUGACAACCUGAAUAGAUCAAAUCCUUGUUUUACCUAAUCCAUCCAUUGCACAGCUUCCUGUUUUGCUGUGAAUUGUCUUUUCACCAUUCCCAUAAUACCUUAAAGGGCUACACAGCAAGACUCAAAUUCAAUAUACAAAGCGGUGCCAUGCCAACCCUUCCCUUCCUUCCUCCACCUGAAAUUUCUCUCCUCAAGCCCUGUAAAUUCAAAAUUUACAGCUUGAUGUGGACCCCACUGAAACAGAAUGCCUCUCCUCAUUGUUGUUUGAUAAGUAAUCAAAAUUUUUCCUACUACUAUGGCACAUUAUCAUUCUAGUAGUAUUUGCCUUGCACAACCAGUAUCUCAUGCAUGCAUGUGUCCCAGAAACUUGUCUCUAGUAGAUAAUGACUUACUAAGAUAUUUUAAAGGGACAACCCUGGUAUUAUAAAAGUCUCAUUAAACCACAAUUUUCUGUAUGAGCUUUAAAAGACAAUUUUCUGCAUGAGCUUUAAAAAAAAAAAAAAAAUGCUUCUACAAGAAGCAACAUUCUUUUGCUUCCAUGUUAAGCUUGUUUUGAAGUCAAAGGCAGUUCAAUUAAAAUUACCAAAGGUCCCAAACAAAGGAACUCACUUUUGUUGGGCUUGAUAAAGAGCUUUUGGCUUCUAAGAAGCCAACCCAAAUGUGUUAAUGUCUUGUCUUAUAUUUUCAUCUGUUUUUAUUUGUUUAGGUUAUAUUAGCACAUCAAUCAAUGAUGGUCCUGGUUGUUUGAUGUUAAGAUGCCCUGAUCCAUCUUGCCGAGCUGCUGUGGGCCAAGACAUGAUCAAUCUCUUGGCAUCUGAUGAAGACAACGAGAAGUAUUCUCGUUACCUUCUUAGAUCAUAUAUCGAAGACAAUAGGAAGGUAUAUCUGAGACUUGGAACUCUUCCAAUUUUAACAUUUAGCAUAUGCAAUGGCUCAUCAAUCUCAAUCUUUAUUUUUACUUUUUUUCCCCUUAAAGUUUUCUAUGAAAAUUCACUGUUGCUUGACUAUCUAACUGUUUAUUUUUAUUUUAGAGUAUUUUCCAGGCAUAAGCCAGUAGACUUACCCUUUCAAUGUUCAAAUUUCAAAUAGUAAUUUGUUCAGGUUCUGAGCAUGUGAUUGAUUAAGGCUUAUGAGUUGCAUACGUUUUGCACCACCAAAGCAUGCCAUUUUUCUCUUCUACUGAUGGGUGCUUGUAAACUUUUAGAGGACAUCUUUUAUGAGUGAUUUGUAAUUUUGUAUGGACUACUUAGAGUUUAGUAUUAUUAUUUUCUGCCAUAGAGUGGGUCUCUUCAAUUGUCUGCAUUUAUCAAGAUAUUAAACUUGACCUGGGCUUAUACCCCAAUUCUUCUUCUUCAAUUUUUGUGCCCCUUUACUCUCGAGGUUGAUGUUUUUUGCAUCAUUUUAAAUGCAUUUUUCACCUGUUUCUAGCAUUAUAGGGAUGAACAUUUGGAGGGGAGAAAUGAAAAUAUAUUAUUUUGUUCACUGCUUUGCUAUUUCUCAUUUCUUUUAUUAUUUCUGUUCUUCCCUAGACCAAAUGGUGUCCUGCCCCAGGUUGUGAGUAUGCUGUGGAGUUCGUUGCUGGUAGUGGGAGCUAUGAUGUAGCCUGCCAGUGCUCAUACGGAUUUUGUUGGAAUGUAUGUUUGUUUUGAAAUUGAAGUUGUUUGAAAAUUUCGUAUGUACAAUUUCUAAUUUUUGUUGUAUGCCAUAUCCACAAUCUUGUCUUUUUAAUCAUGUUUUGAAUCUCUACUGCAGUGUACAGAGGAAGCUCAUCGUCCAGUGGACUGUAGCACUGUGGCCAAGUGGAUUUUGAAGAACAGCGCUGAAUCUGAAAACAUGAAUUGGUUAAGCACAUGUUGCAGCAUUUAAAGUCAUUCAUGCUUGUGGAUAUUCUUUCAUGACUUCUAUUUGUGGAUAUUCAUUAUUUCUAUUCUGUUAAUGCAUAUAGUCAUCCUGCCAAUUCUCUGUUGAAUUCUAAUUAGAAUAUCCUAUUAGCCAUGGUUUAUAAGUGUUGAUAUUUACAAAGUCAAUUUCUGCUCUAUUUUAUUUUAUUUUUGUGCAUGUUGUGGGGAAGCAGUGGGGAUUUAUUACAUCUAUUGGGUUAUGAUUUUUUAUUGCCUGAUGGGAAGCCCUCCUAUUUGAAUGUUCGAAUUUUUUGUGAGGCAUAUGAGGGCUAGAUGACUUUUUUAUGCUAGUUGUUUAUGCGGUUUGAGGCUAUCUCAGGGUUGAGAGUUAACAUGUAUAAAAGUGAGUUGGUCCCAGUGGGAAGUGUGGAGGAUUUGGCUUUAGAGCUUGGUUGUAAGGUGGCAAGAUUACCUUCCACUUAUUUGGGGAUGUCGUUGGGUACUCCUUCAAGUCUGUGGCAGCUUGGGAUGGAGUUGAGGAGAGAUUUUGUAAGAGAUUGGCUACGUGGAAGCAGACUUUAUAUCACUAAGGGUGGGCAAAUCACCUUGAUACGAAGCACCUUGUCCAACCUAUCUAUUUAUUUUAUGUCUAUUCUCCACUUGUUAAGGGUGGUUAGAUUGAGGUUGGAGCAGAUUUAGAGGGAUUUUCUGUGGAGAGGUGGGGCUCUAGAGCGAAAACCUCAUUUAGUAAGGUGGGGCGAUAGUUUGUCUUGAUAAGAGAAAAAGGGGUUUGGGGGUUAAGAGCCUUUCUACGCUCAACAAGGCUCUCCUUUGCAAAUGGAGGUGGCGCUUUGCGAAUGAGAGAGAGGCCUUUUGGAAUCAAGUAAUAAAGGGAAAGUAUGGGGAGGAACAAGGUGGAUGUUGUUCUCGCAAUGUAAGAGAGAGGUAUGGUGUAGGGUAGUGGAAAGCAAUUAGGAAGGUUAGACCUGUCAUUAGCAGUAGGCUUUCCUUUGUGGUGGGUAAUGGACGGAUGGUGAGUUUUUGGAAGGAUAAGUGGUGUGGGACUACACCUUUGUGUGAUUCUUUCCCCUCUUUAUUUACCUUAACUACUUCUAAAGAGGCUUGGGUGAAAGAUGUUUAGACCAUUUCAAAAGUUGGGGGAGUUGGAGUCCUCGCUUCUCUAGGCCUUUCAAUGAUUGGGAGUUGGAUGAAGUAGAGAGCCUUUUGUUAUGCCUGUGUGGGAAGAGAGUGAAUUUGGAUGAGGAGGAUAGGGUGCGGUGGAUGGAAAUGAAGAAUGACAAUUUUUUGGUAAAGUCUCUUUGCAAAGCCUGAGAGUCGGACUUAUCAGUUUAUUUCCCAAUGAAGAUCAUUUGGAACUCUUUAUGUGCAAUCAAAAGUAAACUUCUUUGCUUGGGAGACAUCAUGGGGUAAAACUUUAACUUUGGACCAAAUUUAGAAGAGGGGAUGGGCUCUAGCAAAUAGAUGUUAUUUUUGUCAGUGAAUGAGGAAUCCAUAGACCGUGUACUCCAUUGUGAAAAGACAAGGGCUUUGUAGAAGAUGUUUUUCACUCUUUUUGGAGUGUCUUAGGUGUUUCCUUCCUCGGUUAGGGAAAUCCUCUUGGGAUGGAAUGAGUCUUUUAUGGGUAAAAAGCACAAGACAAUUUGGAGAGCGGGCCCUUUAUGCAUUUUUUGGACAAUUUGAAAGACAAAGAAUAGAAUCGCCUUUGAAGAUGAUGUGCUGUCCAUCCAAAGGCUGAAAGCUUCUUUUGUUUACUUGCUUUAGUCGUAGACUAAAAUGUUUAUAAAAAAUGAUCCUUUGACGUUAAUUGAUUGGGUGGGUUCCCGUUGAGGGCGGGGUUGUUUUUUGUACAUCCUUUUGGACAGUCUUUAGUUUCAACUGUAAGGGGGUGAGUGUUUUUUUCCUGUACAUCUUGGGCUGCUAUUUUAGCGCCUCUUCGUAAUACAAUACUUUUUUUUACUUAUCAAAAAAUGUUUUGAGUUUUUUCCCUACAUAAUGUUUUACUUUGGUUCCUUGUUUGUGUAGCAGAAUGGAGUUUGGCACUAAUUCCCAUUGCUAGGUUAUGUAUGAAGAAAUCACCUUAGUGAAAAUUUGAAAGGUCUAGAAUUUGGUUAAAUUUUAAUUUUCUUCUUGGUAACAAUGAUUGAAUUGUCUGCUAGGACCAACAGGAGGUUGGGUGGGAUUGUGGGAGGCACCAGGUUCGAGAGGACUACCAUGCAGUAAGAAUUGUGGCUUGCCUUUGGAAAUUAAUGCCUUUGGAAAUGUGAUCCCUAACUUGAUUUAAGGAAACCAAAGAUUUUUUUUUCCUUUAUGCAUGUGAAUAUUAUUCUGGAACAAGUGAUUGUUUGCUAUUAUGAUGCUCUUUUUAAGGUGGUGGCAGGUGGGAGGAGCAUUAUGACACAUUAUUGCCUUUUAAAUCUUACCAACAUGGCAUUUCUGGUUCUUAAUAGGGACGUUCUUUGGGACCUCAAUACUCUAUGGAUCCUGAGCUGGCCUGUUGGAAAAAAUGUGCAUAAUACAUGAAAAAUAAGAUGCAUGCUUACUGGGCCUAAGAGUAUAUGUUAAUGAUUGUCCUUUGUUCUUCUGCAUCACUAUUCUUCUUUCCGUGUUUAUAGUCAACUGAAAAUGCCAUCAGCAGUUCAAAUUGUUAAAUUAUUAUUUUUUUUUCUUAUACCCAUCUUUUUAGAUCAGGUUUUUUCCUUUUUCUUUCUUCUUCUUCUUCUUCUUCUUUUUUUUUUUCCUAAUGCUUUGCAAACUGCUUUGUUUAUUGCACUUCUUUAAUAAAUUAUGAUAAAACAUAUUUAAUCCCACUCUCAAGAUGCAAAUAACCUUUCGUUUCUUUAUCCUGUUUAUAUUCAUUAGUUGUGUUAAUAUAUAGUGAAUUCUUUUAUAGUGUAUAAGAAUGCUUUACAUUUUUUUUUUUCAUGCAAUUCUGAUUGUGUAUACUACAAAUGAUGAUGCCCAGGAUACUAGCUAAUUCGAAGCCUUGUCCGAAGUGUAAGCGUCCAAUUGAAAAAAACCAAGGGUGUAUGCAUAUUACAUGCACACCACCCUGCAAAUUUGAAUUUUGCUGGUAAGUUUUGUUACUUAUAUCUGAACCAGAAAUUACCUGUACCUUCAUAAUUCUUGCUCUUAAUUCCAUGAUGAGUAUCUUUUAUAAGCAUUGUUAUCAAGAAAAUUGUAUUUUUUCAGAAAACCUUGAGCAGAAGAUGAUAUUUGUUGCACUAAGCAAUAAUAGUUCUUCUUUCUUCUUAAUUCUUUAUUGAGGCAUUUCUCUUUAUUUUUGUUAUUACAACUGCAGGCUAUGCCUUGGUGCAUGGUCAGAUCAUGGUGAGAGGACGGGUGGCUUUUACGCAUGUAAUCGAUAUGAAGCAGCAAAGCAAGAGGGAGUGGUAAUGAAACUCAAAAAUAUUUUUGGGCUCUUGAAACAAUAUUUUGCUUACUAUAGAACCUUUUGUGCUAUCAUCUUGGUUCUACGUUUGCUUUUUGUUGAAAAUCAACUUAGAAAAAGCACUUCAUUGCAGACCAGUAUGUGUGUUGGCCAUCUCAAUGGGCAUGCAUCUUCAGCUGAGUAUAGGAUUGUAGACUGGACUUUGUCUUAUCUAGAUUUCCUUGUAGGGGGGAGCCCUGGAGUGAUCCAGUUUUAGAUUAGUAUCUCCAGGUGCUUGGGUGGUUGGAAGGUUUCUUCAUCCCUUGUGGGUAGAGUCACCCUCAUUAAGUCCUGCUUAGCUCAUAUCCUAACUUGCAAUUUCUUUUUUAAUCUUUAAGAUCCAUGUUAAGGGUGCACUAGAAUCAAGCAUGCGAUGUGAUAUUCUUUGGUUGAAUGUGAAAGGAGAAAGAAUGAUCACCUAAUAGCACAGAACAUAUUUUCAAAUCAAGAGUGAAGGGGGGAACUGUGUAUCAUCUCUCUAUUAGCAAUGUAGCUUUUCUAGGUAAGUGAUUAAUGAAGUUCCUUGAGAGAGUGGCUUCUUGUGGCAUUUGUUAUUGAAAAAUCUAUAGCCUUAGUUUUGAGGGAUGAAAAGCUCAACUUGGUGAUCAGGUGGCAACACUCUGAUAGGGAACUAAGCUUUUUUUGAUGGCUGUGCACUGAAAGGAACCAGUGCAGAUAGGGGUUGACAGUGUCUUGAGAGAUCAUUGUGGUACUGUUGUCGGAGCUUUUUCCAAAACGGGUAGUUCAGGGUUAGCCAUUGGCACUGAAAUUUUAGCUUAGAAGGGCCGAUGGUGUGACUAUUUUAGGCACUAAAAAUCUGCUAGUAGAAGGGAAAAUCAGUUACUGUCCUCUUAUGGGUUUCUGAGGACAUGUGAAGUCCUUGAAGGCUGGGCAAUUAGUGUCAAAAGUUGCGAUUUAUUUUUUAUUUUUUUCUGGGGCUCCUAGAUUCUAGAAUGGCCAACUAGGUAGCAGACCAACUAGUGAAGUAUGGAGCCUCAUGUUUAGAGAUCUUUGUUUGGGGGUGUAUACCUCCCUGAGCUGCAUUCUAUUCUAAAGUCUUUGGUUGGGAUCUUUAUGGGUUUCAGCUUAGAUGUAAUUCUUUUGCUUACUACUGCACUCUUUUUUUCUUUUGACUUAAAGAUAGCGCAUUCCUCUUGUAUUCAUUAUCUUUAUCAAUGAAUUUCUGUUUUGUCUCAGAAAAUUAACGAGAUUUUUAACUUCUGCCUGUAGUAUGAUGAAACUGAGAGAAGACGGGAGAUGGCGAAAAAUUCUUUAGAACGAUACACUCAUUAUUAUGAACGGUGGGCGACCAACCAAUCGGUAUGUACUAGCUUUUUAUUGUCUGUUUCUUUGCUAUAAUAUCACAACUUGGGUUCUAGGUUUUUUUCCUGUAUUUUUUGGGAACUAGCUUGGGUUUUGCAAAUUAAUAUUGUUUAGAAUUAUGAUGAUUCCAUUGGAGGUUAAAUCCUCUCUUGGGGAUUCAUAUUGACAUGUACACAUCCAUUAAUUUGAAUGUGGUUAAAUGUUAUAUCUGAAUGUAAUCUGAAAUCUUUGUUUUCCUAUUUGGCAGUCAAGGCAAAAAGCUCUUGCAGAUUUACAUCAAAUGCAAAACGUGAAUGUAAGUUUAAUGGCUUUUCUAUAUUUUCCCUUCUUGUCUUUAUGGUAUAAGUGGCCCGCCCAUCAAAUGUACAUAACAUCUAUUGUGUUCUAUCAGCUUCACAUUUUCCUUGUUUUAUUAAGGAAUUUCUUGAAAGUUGAAACUUCAUGUACACUGAACUAAUUUUUAACCAAGCAUGCCAUAUGUGGGAUUUCUUUUGUAAUUUAUAUUUUAAACUUGGAAGUGAUUGAAAUCUCUUAAGAUUACAAAAAUAAGUCUACUUCAUUGAUGAAUAAUGCCUACCAACUCUCUAUCGAGAUUACAAAAAAUAAAUCUACCUCAUCAGUUUAUAGCAGUCUUUUGACAAAAGAUUUUUUAAACAUUCAGUUGGUAAUUUGAUCACCAUUGUUUAAGCACUGCUGCCUCAGAAAAAGGUUCUUUUCAAAAUGCUAACUGUACUGCUGUAAUCUUGAAAUUUUCUGAGAAGAAAGCAAUUGGGAAUCUGGGUGAUAAUGUUGUUUGAGGACACCCUUCUCUGGUUAACGUUAAUUAUGGACAUGUUCCAAUGGAUACAAACUGUCUAGAGAUUCACUCUUGAUAACUCUGCACACAAGCGCAUGCACACACACAAAUAUGUGUAUGUAUAUACGUGAUAGGUUAUAAUUCAGAUAUAUUGUUUUACAGCAAAACUGUCCAUGUACAGUAAAUUUUUGGUUUUGGAAGAUUUUAUGUGCCAUAAACAUGGGUUUUAUUCCUCUGGCCACCUCGGGAUUUUUUCAGUAAUAUUUUUAUUUGCAUAAUUUCUUUAAUUUGUUUGAUUUUGCAGAUUGAGAAGCUCAGUGACAAACAGUGCCAACCUGAAUCACAGCUCAAGUUCAUAACAGAGGCCUGGCUACAGGUGAAUAUAAAGUUCCUUCGUAUGCAUAUUUAGCAUUUUGUUAAUUAGCAUUAUUGGUCUCUCUUCUGUAAAAAGAAAAGAUGAAUAAACCUUUAUACAUCAAAGCCUUUGAAACUGAAAUUGGCAUGUAUUAUUGAUUAUAGCUUAUGAUACUAUUGUCCAUAUGCAGAUUUUUUUAUUUUCUGGCAAUCUUUAAAGGGGAAAAAAGGAAAUCAAAAUUUGAAAUCUCUCUCUUAAAAAUAUUAAUACAUUGAAUAUAAGGUGAUUUAAGAUUAAGGUAAAGCAUUUAAAAAAUACUCUUUACCCUUGUUUACAGUCCUUGUAAAGGAGCUUCUUUUGUUGAUGCUAUGACUAAUGCCAUUUUGUUCAAUCAAAGGACCUUUCCUAUGAAUCACCAAAUCUCAUUAUGUUAUCUUCUCCUCCCCUUUCCCUUUUUCCAUUUUUUGGGUGCCUGUUGAACAUCCAAGGGGAACUGAUAUAUUGUUCUAUCCAUAAUUCAAACAAGUAUGUUUUUGCUUUUUCAUUUUUUUCUUUUUCCAUCCAUAAUUCAUCAUUCAUAUAGGUAUCUGCAAUUAUUGGUUUGUUUAUGGGUGCAUUGGUUGGGGAUUAGGUGGACCUUUCAGAUUAUUGGUAGUCAGAAGUAAUUGAGACUUAGUAGUAAACCGAAGUAACUGAAACUUAGUAGUGGUGGAGCUAAAAGUUCAAUAAUUUUUUUUUAAUCAAUUUUAUUACAAUUAAUUGCCAUACUUGUUAGAUAUAUUUGAUCUAACCUCUUAAUAUUUGCUGUUUGGAUUGUGCUUGGGGGUAGGGGAAUGGGCUAUUUCCAAUUUUUGGAUCCAUUUUAGACUAAAAGAGAAUAGUAAUGUAAUGAUGAUGAUUGUAUUUGAAUUUGUUGUUUGAGCAUGAAAUGCUAACAUUAUCACACUUUGUGAUCCUUUGUAUUUUUAGAUAGUUGAAUGCAGACGGGUGCUGAAAUGGACAUAUGCAUAUGGUUACUACUUACCCGAGCAUGAGCUUCCCAGGAGACAAUUUUUUGAGUACUUGCAAGGUAUGUAAUGCCCUUCAACCGCCCUACAAGGGAUAAAAUCAAGAAUUGCCUUUGUGAUUGAUUUGGAUUAAUCUAAGAGUGAUGCUUAUUUCUUAUGCAGGUGAGGCGGAGUCGGGUUUGGAAAGGCUUCAUCAAUGUGCAGAGAAGGAAUUACAAACAUACCUCAAUGUUGAUGGUCCAUCAGCAGAUUUCAAUGACUUCCGCACAAAGCUAGCUGGACUGACAAGGUAAUUCCUGCCUAGAAUUCUUAUGGAACUUAUGGAUAUCCGUGUUUUAUAUUUUCUGAUGCAAGGCAUGCUCCCUUUUUAACCACCUAGGGGAAAGUUGUAUUUUUCAUUGAAACUACUCUGUUAAAACCGUAUACCUCCUGUUCCCUGGAUAUAUUUUUUCUGGAGCAGGACAUUCUUCCAUAUCUCAGACUAAUCAGGUUAUGAUAAUCUUUUUGGAUUCAUUUGUAUUCCACUUUGUUAUAUGAUUUUCUUGCCCAUUUUCUGUUGUAACAGUGUAACACGGAAUUACUUCGAGAACCUGGUCAGAGCAUUGGAGAAUGGGCUGUCAGAUGUAGACUCUUAUGGGGCUUGUAGCAGGACGACAAGUUCAAAGAGCAUGGGAGGCACCAGUAAGGCUAGAGGUGGAAGGGGAAAGGGAACUACAUCCCGAUCCAGUAGCUCCAACAAAACCCCAGACGAUUCAAGUCGAUGGUAUUGUGAACACUGUGCUACUGCUAAUGCCAAGUCUGCCUACACAUGCCAGAUGUGCCACCAGCGACGGGCCUAAUCCUCCUUGCACCUGCUUAGAGUACCCUUUCAAAGCGCGCUCAAGAAAAAUGAAGGGGAUUUUCACUAGACAUUAAGGACAUAAACAAAUUCGGUGGUUCAUCCUCGUUCUGAGGCGGACAAACAGUGAAAGUGAAGUAGGAAUGGAAGAAAAGAAGUCGAGGAAACGGAGUGAGUUUACCGUCUUUUGUGUGUUCAACAGUGGCAUUUGAACAUGAUUUUCAUGUACAUAGUUUCUAUAUAUCUAUCUAUUUAUCCUUCUGUGAAUCUACUUGUUGAGGUUCUAAAACUUGCUUCUGCUCCAUCAUGUUGUAUUACGGACAUAGCCAGAGGCAAAAAGUGCAAAUAUACUCAUUUGUGUCUUUUUGAUUUCUCUUUUAAAAAAUUGAUUUUGUGCUGCUUCCCUCAAUGCUGUGUAAAGAACCAUCCCCACCCUCUUCUCGAACCCCUACCAUCAAAAUCAUAUCUAUAGAAAAUAGCAAUAUGCAUUUCUUUUCAGAGCUUUACACUGUUACAAUACUUUUUAUUGAAGCUAUAAAUAUAACAUGCUGAAGCUCUUCUUGCUUUGUUGAUGCUGGUUACAGUAAAUGCUAAUCUAUGCGAGGAAUCUGCCCAUGGCAUUGUGGCCGUGAGAGCUUCCUUCUAUUUCCUAUUUCUUGCAGUUCCGUUGUGUUAUACCUAGUUGUGGUUGCCCUUUCUUGAGCAGCUACAUCUGCAAAAGGCAUAAGCUGCUAUCAGUAAAGCUCCCUUUUGUUUGUUCAACAUGUCAUGUGCUUGGAAUGGUUGGGUAGGUGUAAUAUGUGGUUGUAUGACAUGUCUCCGGCUCAAAAGAGUGUGCAGAGAGCAUUGAGGUGUGCUGAAAGCACUUGUCAUUCUUGUAUGAUGUAGGCUCUGUUAAAGCAUUUUUUUUCUUCAGCUCAAAGUUGAAAAAUGUCUUUCCUUGUAGAAGCUCUAGUUGAGGUAUACAAGGUGGCUGUUUUUAUGCUUAAUCAUUUUUGUCAAUGCCAAUCUUACUCUUAGGAAUUAUGACUUUAAUCAUAUUCCACCGAGUAGGAAAUAUAUAUAUAUGCUACGAAUAUGAUAUUUUAAGAUAACAUAUCUGAAUAUGUUAUAUUAUAUUAUAUUUAUAUUUAAUUUACAAAAUGAAUAAAAAAAUAAUAUAAAAUAUAUAUUAUUUUCAAUAGUUAAAAUAAAAAUGAUAUUAUAUUUAAAAAAUUAAAAUUUCUUUUAUAUUUAACAAUAUCAUGAUUAAAAUUUUUAAACUUUAUAAAUGAUUUUUUAUAUUAUUUUAUUCAAUAUAUAAAAAUGAUUUAUAUAUCAUAUAGAUAUAUUAUUUAAUAAAUAUUUUUUUAGUUUUUUUUAAACUGUAAAUUUAAUUUAUAAUAAAAAAAUUUAUUUUCCAAAAUGAGUAUAUAAAAAAAAUUGAUAAAAAAAAUUAAAUUUAUGAUAAAUGGGAUAUGCAUAUGAAUCUCAUUCCCCAUGUAAAAAAGAUUAAAAAAAAAAACUAGAUAAUAUAUCUCAUCCCUUGUUGUAUCCCUUAUUUGGUUGUCUUCAACCAAACAUGAGAUAACCUUUCUCUUAUCUUAUCUCAAAUAUGAUCAAAAUUUAUUACAAAAUAUGAAAGAGAAUCCUUUCAUUGCCAAAUUUCCCACAAAGAAAACACUUGAUGAAAGCCCUAUAGCCUAUAUCCAUCAUUUGAAUCAUGCAUAUUGACAUUCAAAAUGGAGAACAAUGGACAAAGUCUAGGACAUAGUAUAUAAUAUAUAGCUGCAAUUUAAGAUGCAAAAAAUAAAACAUCUUCAUUCAUCAACCAAAUGAUAUGAUUAUGGGUGAUGAUUCCACCAACAUUGAACUCAAAUCCAUACAUGAGUUUCACUCUAAAAUUAAAAAACUCAGACCUUAAAGAUGAACUCCUCCCAUCAUGAAUUUCAACUUUCCAAACUCCUCUCUAGUGUGUGUGUGUAACAGGAAGCCAAAACUGUAGACAACUCAAACGCUUAUAGACAUAUUAUUUUUCUUUUGUACACAAUAGAUGCUUUUAUCUUCCAUACUUGUUUCUCAAGAGUGUAAAUAGGAUUACUUAACUCUUGCUUCCAGAUUACCUCUAAACAAACACUUGAUUUUGCAGUCGCAUAGAUCUGUUUUUCAGCAGCAUAGAUCUGUUUUCCAGCUGCAUAGAUUUGUUUUGCAGUGGCAUAGAUUUGUCUUUGAAGAUUCUCAUGCUAAGGGCAUUUAGCAUUGCUCUUGAGUACUGGCGCGACGACAUCUUCCAGUCCAUGCCCGUCUUCAUCAUCGCCUUGAACUCAUCAUAACUGAUCCGACCAUCCUAUAAAUUCCAAAAAUAAAAAAUAAAAAUGAGUGAUGCUUUGAUGCUGCAGGAAUGUUGCCAAUGGAGCUAGAAUUAAUCAUGUGUUAAUUUCUGAGGACUAGUUUCUAGUUACCUUGUCCAAAUCAACGUCGAAAAUGAUGUCUUGGAUCACCUGCUCAUUGUUGGGGCCAAGGUUAUCCUCUCUUAAGGCCUCUCUGAGCUCUUCAAACUCAAUGUACCCACUGUCGUUCUUGUCGAAAGCCCUAAAAGCUUCGCUCAGAUUUUCAUCGCUGCUGAUCUUUCUCAGGUGCACAGAAAUUGUUACAAACUCAUCACAGUUCAGUGUCCCGGUUCCAUCCAUAUCAGCCUUUUUGGACAGCAGCAGAGAGUUAGAUAACUAUGACAGUAAAGCUUAAUAGGAAGAAACAAGAUGGCUACAAUAUAUAACAAUCUGAAAAACUAGCGAAACCCCCCCAAAAAAAAAAAAACAACUCACAGCUUCAAUCAACAUCUUCACAUCAGGGUCGGCAACUGGAUGUCCAAUCUUGUGGAGUCCGUCUUUGAGCUCUUCAAAGCUCAAGUUUCCAUUUUUGUCAGUGUCCAUCAUGUGGAAUAUCUGUCUGAUUCCAUCUCGCUGCUCAUUUGGUAGGUUGUCUGCUACCACCUACAACAAAUGAAUGUAAAUCACUCAAUGAUUCUUGGGCUAGUUGGCUUCAGCAUUCAAGAUACAAUCAAGACAUGAGGAAACUUACUCUGAGAACCCUCUUCUUGAACUUGUUCAUCAAUGAGAAUUGCUUGAUCCUCGUCCUCACAUUUUCUCCAAGGGACACAUUAGGGAUGCUGGUGGCAUUUUUGAUCCAUGGAUGGGCUUCAUACAGCAAGAAAGAGAACAGUUGGUUGAUUUUUCGCUUUGGCAUGUUCAUAUGCUUGAUGAAAAUAUUGAUUAUAAUUCAAGAAUGCAAAGAAAACAGACCAAGGACUUCUUCAACAGUCAAGCGGUUAUAAGGGUUGGGAUCAAGCAUACUCCUCACUAGGUCCUUGGCAUCCUCAGAAACAUGAGGCCAAGGAUCCCUCUCAAAGUCUACAACAGACUUCACAAUUGCCUGUGCAAUCCCUUCUUCGGUUUCUGUACAACUCAAGGAAAAGAAUGCUUGUAUUAUAAACCAUUCCCACAAAUUUUCACGUUAAAUUGAAGACCUUUACCUGCCCAGAAGGGAGGAACUCCACAGAGUAGGAUAUAAAGAAUAACGCCUGCGCUCCAAACAUCGACUUCUGGUCCAUAGUGUCGUCUCAGGACUUCUGGGGCCAUGUAGUAGGGGCUUCCAACAAUUUCAUUGAACCGCUGGCCUAUCCUCAAAUCACAAAGUAGCAGAGUUCAGUUACAUGGAUGAAUAUAUACCCUACAUAUGAAAGGAAGAAAUUGGAAAUUAUGAAGCAUACCCGGCUUAAAGAAUAUGGAUAGCCCAAAAUCAAUUGCCUUCAAUGGUGAAGCUUCACUUGCAUCUGCAAACAAGAAAUUCUCGGGCUUUAGGUCUCGAUGCAUCACUCCAUGUUGAUGGCAUAUCUGCAAAAAUUUCCCCACAAAAAUCAACACUCUGAUACAAUUAAUUCAUCUGAAAGAAGAAAUAAACAAAUUUUCUGUCCUCGCUUACCUGAAGGAUCUCGACAAUACUUCUGGUGACAUCUGCGGCGGCCCGCUCUGUGUAGUGGCCGCGGGCGACAAUCCUAUCGAAGAGCUCGCCUCCCUCGCAGAGUUCCAUGACCAAAUGUACAUUAUCCUUGUCCUCAUACGCCUCCUUCAACCUUACGAUAUUCGGGUGCUUGGGCAAAUGCUUCAUAAUCUCCACCUCCCUCCUCACAUCCUGAAUAUCGAUCUCGGUCGUCAGCUUGCUCUUCGAAAUCGUCUUGCAGGCGAAGAUUUCCCCGGUCUCCAGGUCGAAACACUGGUGGGUUACCCCAAACUCCCCCCGCCCCAGCUCCUUCCCCAGCCUGUACGUCUUGUAAAUGUCCUUGCCGCUCGGCUCCUUCAACACCGAUAUCGGCCGGAUCGUCACCGAUUUCCGAAACACGUCGUCGCCGGAUUCAGGGAUGAUCUUUUUGGCCUUGGCUUUCUUCUUCUGGCCUGCCUUAGCAGGCAUGGAAAUGCAGCCUCCCAUGGGAUUAUUAGCUCAAAGUUAGAAUCCCAUGGGAAGGGAGAGGAUAGAUUUUUAGGGGGAGAGAGGAGGUGGAUGAAGAAAUAACAGAAAGGAAGUUUCAGGUUUUUGAAAAGUAGUUAAUCCGUUAUAUGUAAGGGUCCCGCCUUUUUCUAAGGGCCUUGGACGCCGUUCAUUUUUGACGGUUCGGGUUUGUCCAGGUGGCUUCGGACUUUGGCUUUUUGGGGCUGCCGUUAACCUUUCUGUCACACUUUCGUUGGAAAAUUGUUUGGUUCAACGGAAAAUAGUUUAGGAUGGAAAACCUAGUUACAAAUAAAAGUGAUGUUCAGUGUUUGAGUAUUAAUUAAAUAUCUUGAUAAAUAAUAUAAUAUAAAUUUAAUUAUUUAUGCUAUAAAUGUAUAACAUAAAAUAUAAUUAUUUAAUUAAAAUUAUUAUAUACUCGAUUUUGAUUUGGAUUAUAUAAUUUGAAUUUUUCUUGAAAAAAUAUAAAUGCAGUACAACCCACUUAUUUUAUUUUAUUUAAAAUAAAUAUAUUUUAUAAAUAAAUAAAUAUUAUAAAAUUUUAGACUUAUUUUAUCUGAGAAUGAGAUUGUUUUAGAGUUACCAAAUGAGGCAUUCCUUCAUCUAAAUUUAGUUCAAAUGGGUUUGCUGAAAUUUUUUAUAAAAAAGAAGUGAAUGUUCACAUGGGCUUUAUUUAAUUGGAAAGAGUUGAAGCAAGUUGUUAAGUUGUUAAUUAGUUUGGCAAUUAUCAAUUUUCAUUAGAGGUAACAUCCUUUAGUUAUAGUUGGUUCUCUAUGCUUCUAGAAUCUUCCGGUUGUUUCUCCACUCAAAUAUAAUAACUUAAGAAGAUCGAAAGUCUAGAACAAUUGUUGGAAACUCAUACAAAGAGAUACUAUGAAAUUGUUCCUCUAUUCAUUAUUAUUAUUAUUAUUAUUAUUUUUAAUAUGGUAUCAAAGCCAUUUGACUUGGCUCUAUGGCUUAAGUUGCAACAAUGACAACUAGUGUCUCCUCAUCGAGCACCUCCAAAACAAGCCGAGGACCUCCAAUGGCAACUCCCUCAUUGACAUUCUCAUCCAUACUUUCUCCACUAUCUUUGAAACUCACAAGGAACAACUAUGGAUUUUGGCACUUACAAAUUCUUCUUAUUGUGCAAGCUCUUGAUCUUGAAGGUUAUUUGCUUAGAACAAUAGUGUGUCCCCCUUGUUUCAUCCUGAACAGAAAUGAAAACUCUUUAAUAAUCAAUCUAUAAUUUGUGACCUAGGCCAUAAUAGACCAAUUCAUCUUGAGUGGGCUUUUUUUUUUUCUUCUUUCUAAGCUAAUGUUUGGUCGUAUUGUUCAAUGUAAAAUUGUUGUUGAAGUGUGACAUAUUUUUUUAUCAUUUGUUCUUCAUCAACUCCAAAUCUCGAGUACAACAUCUUCAAUAUACGUUUUUGUAAGAAGCUUUAAAGGGUUCUUUGAGUAUUACUAACUAUUUUCUACAAAUGUAGAUUGUUGAUAAUUUGUCUGCAAUUGGUAAGCCUAUCACUAAUGAGCAAUUGUUGAUGUGCAUCUUUGGUGGUUUAGUCAUGAAUUUGAUGAUGUAACGAUCCAUCUUCAAUCAAGAAAAGAUUUUGUCUCUAUUGAAGAAGCUCAAUUUCUUUUUCAAAAUUAUGAGAUGAGAAUUAAAAAACUCUUAACUCUAUUUCAAGAAUCAAUAAUCGACCCUUUGCUAACUUUGUUGCCAAGGCCACAAAAGAAAUAAGUACCAUUUCUCUAGAGCUCCUAACGGUAGUUCUUUUGUAGUGGUCAUAUUUAUAAUGACAAAAAUUUUAUGUAGCAUCUCUAAAUUCACCAAGGAUAACAAUAUAGUUGUCGAAUUAUAUGAUGAUUGUUGUCUUGUGAAGGACAAGAACAGGAGGAGGAUUUUGAUGUAGGGCAAGCUUGAAGGAGGGCUUUAUCAACUCGAUGUUCUAGUUUUCUCUACUUCUAGCUUCAAUUUUCCUUUAGUUUCUUUAGCACAUGUUAAAUCUAAUGAGUCUUGUACGAAGGUUAUGGACGCUUGGUCAUCCUUAUGACCAAGUGUUGAAUGAUGUACUCACGAUUUUACAUUUGUCUCUUAUAGCUAAGAAUCUUCAAUUCUGUGAAGCUAGUCAGUCGGAAAAACAGGCUAGAUGGUUUUAGAGCUAAGGACUUUGCUUCUAGAAUCUUCUAAUUGUAUUCAAGAAGAUCAAAAGCCCUAAUAAAUUGCUGGAAACUCCUAUGAAGAAACACUUUGAAAUUGUUUCUCUUAUUAAUUUUGUAUGCUUUAGAUCAAUGUCACAUGAAACUAUGGGGGCACACCCAUCUAAAAAAAGGCCCCUCUUUCCUCAGACCCCUUCUUGUAUUUCUUUUUCUUAAUCACCAAAAGGCCUUAUUCCCUACAAAUUUUCUUGCAAACCAAACAUCAGGGGGAAACUUCAACCUUUCUUUUCCUUACUUUCCCCCACCCUCCCUCAACAGAACACUUUAGUUUAAUUACAAAGCUCCGACAGUACUUCAAAGAUUGGAAAAAAUACACAAGGGAGAAACAGAAAAACUAAUCAAAAUUCCAUAGAUUUACCAAAUUCUCACUGGAUCUAGAAGAAAAAACAUACAAAGAUCGUCUCAUCUACAUACAAAACCUCUCACUUAUCCUUAAUUCAGACAUGAAACAUCCCUAGAACCCUUAUCCACAGCUGCUGCAGUCAACCUCUCAGCGACAAAGUGUGGGAAGCAACAAUCCACUCGGGUCAACCAGGAAACCCCAAUAUUCCUCCAUGAAGACUCCAACACCAGCAAAACAACAUACAGAAACACCACCACAGAGAUUGCAGUGGAGAGACAAAGCUGAUCUUCUGUCAAACUCAACAACAUCUUCACACAUAGAAAUGUUUGGGGUUGGGUUGUGAGGAGUGGAGACAGAGAUAAAAGGAAGCUAUAUGCAGAUGGGAAAGGAGUUGUUUCAACGAAUUUGGUAUGGUGGAUGAAUCAAAGGUGUUCAAUCAGUGAGUGUCAGAGGGGGGCGCAUGAAGACUUCUGAGUGAAGUCAUGAUGAGGGUGUGGGCACCAUUCAUUGAAUAUGAGUGCAUGUUGCUGUGGGUUAUCACCCUUUAUCAUAUUCUUUUGAUGGAAUCUCGCUCUAAGUUCAUGCAUCACUGUUAUGUUCCCUACAAUACAUGCACCUUCUUAGGGAGGUCAAAUUUUAGAAACAUUUGUCAUUAUCUUCUAGAAUGCAAUUUUACCUUAGAAUUUAAAUAUAAUUUUCUUUUAUUCAUUUUUUCAAUGAAAUUAUUAUAUAUUUAUAUGUAAUGUAAAUUUUUUUAAGGUAUUCUUUAUAUUUUCAAUUAUUAUUUAAAAUACUAUAUAAAAAAUAACUUAAAAUACCUAAAAAUUAUAUAUUUUAAAAAGCAGUUUGCUUUCAGAACAAUUUUUUUAAAGAAAAAUAUUUUUAUUAAAUAUAUUUACUAAGUUAUAAAACUAUUUUCAUAGUUUUGUACUCAUAUCCUUGUGAUUCAAAAUAAGGGAGAUGUUUAACGAAAUUUCAAAUCAAUAAGAAUUAAACGUAUUUAGUUAAAAUCUGAUAAAAAAUGGAAGAAAUUAGUCAUGUCUUUUGAAAUUUUUUAAUAAACUCAUCUUUCUAGAUAGUCAAAGUUUGAAAUAAGAAUAAACAAAACAUUUAAGUUAUAAAGAUUGAGAUUAAAUGCAUGAACAAAGGUUACAAUGACCAAGAGCUUUCAUUUAUUAUUUUUUUUCAAGGUGACACCUCUUAUACCAUGAAUGAUUUUAGAACUUUAGAAUUCUAUACAAAUAAGCUAGUCAUAAAUAAACAAAAACUAAAAUAAAAUAAAUGGAAUGAAAAUGCAAGAUUUAACAUGAUUUAAUUACAUGCUUACAUUGAGAAAAUCAAUUCACAAAGAACAAUUACAAUCCUAAAAAGCUCUCAAAUCCCAAGUCCCAAAUGAUAUAUUUUAUGAUAUAGAGAGAUAUUUGACUUUUAAUAUUUUAUUCCAUAAAUCGUUUAUAUAUUUUUAUUGAACUCGUCUUUUCCAAAAAAACAAGUUUACUUUUUAUGAAUUUAUUUUUUAUCUUAUAAAUUUUUAUACUGAAUAUCUUCUAAAAAGAUGAGUUAAGAAUGGUUUUACUUGAGACCAAGGAUCUAUUUGACAAUUGUUUUCUAUUCUAAAAAUAAAAUAUAUUUGACAACCAAAAAUUGUUCCUAUUUUUAAUUCUUAAAAACAGAAAAUGAAGUGUUUUCAAUUUUUAAGAACAAAAAGCAGAAUGUUUUCAAAUAACAUCUUUUAGUUAUUAUUUAUUUAUUUUUUUAUAACUAUUUAAAAAAAUAAUUAUACAAGCAUAUAAAAUGAUUAAAAAUAAAACAGUAGAUAUAAAAAUUAUUUUGAAAAUAUUUUAAGUUUCUAAACAGAAUUUUGUUUUAUAAAACAUUUUUUAAAAACCAUUUUUAAAAAAACAAUAACCAAAUAAUUUAAAAUUAAAAAUAUGGUUGAUGAAAGAUUCUUUAAAAAAUUACACUACCUUGAAAAAGGCCCAUUAAUGACUUUUAGUUAUUCAUUGAAUCCAUGCACAUGUUGGCUGUCAUCACUCUCAAUGAUUUUUUUUUUCAAUUAUAAAUUUUAACCUAAAUCCUCAACUAUUCAUGGCUGUUCCAUCACUACAAGUUCUACCACCAAAUUUUCACUGUCUUGUAAGUUGUAACUAGUCUAUCAUAAUGCUUGUCUUAACAUAUAGAUGAUGAUAUCAUGAAACUUUGGUAUUGUUUGGUCCACGAGAAAAUUAACAAAUUCUUGAUUCAAUUACAUCAAUCCAAUCAAAUCAUUAUUGUUACAUCCAAACUAAUAAUAUAUUUUAUGAGUAGUAUGAAAAAAAAAAAAAUGUUGGUUUUAGUUUUGUAAGUGAAUAUUUGUAUUUUUCAAUUAUUUUUAGGUGUUGGUGAAAUUCAUUUUAUAUAAUAUUUUUUUUACAUUAAAUUAAGAAGGUGAAAUUUUUUCCCUUUUUCUUUUAAAAAAUUAAAAUAAACAUUAAUAGUAAUUUUUAUAUAAAUAUAAGGAACUUUUAAUAACUAAAGCCUGCGUGAUAACUUUAUUUUUUUAAAUAGUUUUGAAAAAUAUUUUUAAGAACGAUUAUUAAAAAUUAUUUUAUGAUAUUUUGUAUAACAAAAGAUUGUUUGAGAGUUUGAAAUAUUUUUAAUCUAUUUUUAAAUAUAUUUUAAAAAUAACUUUUAUAUCUAAUGAUUUAUUUUUAUUCAUUUUAUAUGUUUGUAUAAUUAUCUUUUAAAAUAAAUUUUUAAAAAGAAAUAAAAAAAACUAAAAACAACUAAAAAUAUUUUUUAAGAACAAAAAUAAAAAACAGUUUUAUGGUUGCCAAAAGCGUUUUCUUCUUUGUUUGUUCUAAAUAACAUAAAAUUAUUCUUGAAAAUAAUUAUCAAAUAGACCCAAAUAUUCUUAAAAAUUGAUAUCAAAAUUUAAAAAAAUGAGUAGUUAUAUUUUUUUCAAAUUAUUUUCUUUAAAAAAAGUCUCUUCCAUUUGCAUAAAGAUUAUUAUUACUUAUUUACUUUGAAAAUAGAUACAAACUCCAUCAAAACUUUUUGAUCAAAUAUUAAAGUUUGUUUGGUAAUUAUUUUUUAAAACAGUUAUGAAAAAACAACUUUUAAGAAUAGUUUUUAAAAAUUGUUCUUUAACAUUUUGUAAAAUAAAAGUCUAUUUGGAAACCUAAAAUAUUUUUAACAUGUUUUUAAUAUUUUUAAAUAUGUUUUAAAAAUAAUUUUUAUGUUUAUUAUUUUAUUUUUAAUCAUUCAACACACUUAUAUAAUUAUUAUUUUUAAAACAAUCUUAAAAAAAAACAAAUGAAAAUAAUAAAAUAAAAAAAACAACGAAAAGAUGUUUUUUGAAAGCACCAUAUUUUUUGUUCUUAAAAACAAAAAACAAAAAAUAAUUCUUAAAAUUGUUCUAUUUUUUUUUUAUAUUUUAGAUAAUAGAAAAUUGUUUUCAAGAACUAUUACCCAACUGGUCGUUAUAUAUUGGAAAACGGGUACAUGGAAUGAAUUAUCGUUUUUAAGGUAAAAUGAUCAUCUUCUAUUUUUAUAAGAAUGAUUUUGGUCUGAGUGAGAUAGAAGUGAUAAUACUUGAAAUUAAUUAUUUUCUAUAAAUUUGAUGCUUCCAAAAUUUCAUAAAAGUCGUGCUUCUAAAAAUUUAAUUCUUUUAUACCAUUUCAUCUAAAAAAAAUAUAUAUACUUUUAUAUUCAAAUAUUGAAGAAAUAAAACACUCUUAUAAAAGUUCUACACAAAAAUUGUUACAGGUCAAAAAUAUUUUUAAUAAAAUUACCUUUAAACAACCUAUAGAUUGCAAAAUUUGUCUAAAUUUUAUUUUUAAAUUAAUUUUGAGCCUAAUUUUGUCAAUAAAUUUUAAAUUCUAAUUACAUAUGUUUUUUUUAGCCCAACGACCCUUUAAUCUUAAUUUUUAUUGUUUUGUAUUCUUUUUUUAUUUUAUUAUUAUUAUUAUUAUUAUUAUUAUGUUUUAUUUUAUUUUAUUUUUACUUUUUUUUCUUUUUCUCUCCUCUCUCUUCCUCCCAUAUUAUUAUGUUUUUUUUAUUUUAUUUUUUCCCCUCUUUAUUCUUCUACUAUUUCCUCUCCCCCAUUCCCCUCUUCCUUUUUUCUUUUUCUACUUCUCCUUGGACUCACGAUCGGCUCCCUUAUUUGGGUUUCUCAUUCUCUUCUUCUACUAUUUCCUCCCACCCAUUCCCCUCUUUCUUUUUUCUUUUUCUGCUUCUCCCUGGACUCACGAUCGGCUCCCUCAUUUGGGUUUCCCCAUUCUCUUCUUCUACUAUUUCCUCCCCCCCCCCCAUUUCCAAGAAUGGUCGGCCCCCCAUUCCCCUCUUCUUUUUUUCUUUUUCUGCUUCUCCCUGGACUCACGAUCGGCUCCCUCAUUUGGGUUUCCCCAUUCUCUUCUUCCUCUUCUCUCCCCCAACUCUCAUGUGGCCGACUCCUCCAUUUUCCCCAUUCUUCUUCAUUUUUUUUUCCCAACACCACUCCUCACACUCUACUCAUAGUCGGCUCCCUCAUUUGGGCUUCCCCAUUCUCUUCUUCCUCUUCUCUCUCCCAACACCCAUUUCCGGCCACACGUGCCCCCCUCUCAAUUUUUCCCCUAUUUUUUUCUUUUUAUUUUAUUUUUCUUCCUCUUCUACCCAUUUUUCUUCCAAUCUUUUUCCCUCCAUUUUUCUUUCCUUUCUCUUCCUCCACCAUACCCCACUUCCAAAGACACACCACAUGACCCUUUUCUUUUCCCCCUUUUCUCCCAUCCUCUCCUCAUUUCUCCAUUUUUUUUCUACUCUUCAUUUUUUUUUCUUUUUUUAUUUUUUAUUUUAUUCCCAAAAAAGCCAUCAACUAUCUCCGACAUGAUCACCGACCAACCGUCGUCGGCAAACCCCUACUGGCCAACGACCUCCUCUCCUUUUAUCUCAUUCUCUCAUUUUCCCAUCACACCCAAUUCUCAUUAUUAUUAUUAUUAUUAUUAUUAUUAUUAUUAUUAUUAUUAUUAUUAUUAUUACUACUACUACUACUAUUACUAAUUUUUUUUCUUUAUAUUUCUUGAUUUGAUUUUAAUAGUAAUUACGGUUAAAAUUGAGCUUGUGCAUUUAUGUUUAUUUGUGGGCCUUAUGUUUGGGCUUUGUUAAUUAGUAUGAAAUUUAGGUUAAUUUGUUAUUGGUAAAUUAAUAUGAAAUUGGGGAUAAUUUAUUGUUGGUGAAUUAAUUUAGAAUUGACUAAUUUAGAUUAGAUUAAUUGAUAAUUAUAUGGUUGUGCUCAUUUUAAUUAUUUAAUUUGGAUUGAUAUAAUAUUGUGGUAUAUUUUGGAUGUGAGUUUGCAUAUUAAAUUAGGUUGAUUUUGGUUGUGGAUUUAAAUUUUACAUAUUAAAUUGGGCAUCGAUUAUGAGAUAUUAAAUUUAGACUUAAUUGAAUUUAUUUUGAUUUAUUGUAUCUGGGUUUGACUAAUUGUGCUUGUAUUUUGAUAAUUAAUUGAGAAAUUUUGCACUAUGAUUAUUGAUAUGUAAGAUAUUUUUGUAGGGUUAUACUUACUGAUUUGGGUCUAUUUUUAAUUGGUAAAAUUUGUUAAACUAAUUUGAAAUUCGAAUUUGGGUUUGAAUAUUUGUUUAUGAUUUUGUACAUUUCUAGAUAUUUACAUUUGAGCUAUUUUUGUUUUUGCAUGGACCUAUUCUGUAGUUUUGUUGGCUGAAAUUGAUGACACGUGGAACAUGAAAUUUUAUGGAAGAAAGUGAGAUUGAAAAAGCUGUCAAAAGACAUUGAGCUUGUUGUAAGUUUAUUUUGGUACAUAUUUUAUUUCUCACUUUUAUUUGGUUUUAUUUUUAUUAAUUCUUGUAAAUAUUCGUUCGUAUAUAUUUAUUGAGUGUGUACAGAAUUGAACAUCGAACAAACUAGAAAUUUUGUUUAAAUGAGAGGAAGAAUUCAAUAAAUACGUUUGAAUAAAAUAAUAAUUUUAAAAUAAUUUUUUUUAAUAAAAGAAAGUUUUUUUUAUUAUAAAAAUUCAGAAAAAUGCAUUUAGAAAAAUCCAAAAGAAUUGUUUGUAAUAGAAUUUGAAAAAUUGUCCAAAAAUUGUUUUGUAAAUAAAGUUGUCCCAAAAAUUAAUUUUUAAUAAAAUUUUCCAAAAAAUGUUUUUUUUUAAAUGAAUUUUUUUCCUUAAUUAAAAUGAGAUUAAAAGUAUUCUUUUUAGAAAUAAAGGAUUAUUUUUUUUUUCUUUCUUUUUAAUUAAAAUUUCUUUUGUAAAUAAAGUUAUGUAUUUUUAAAUAAUUUCUAUAAAUCUCUUUUUUUAAAUGAAAAUGAAUCAAAAUACUUUUGUAAAUAAAAUUGUAAAAAUUCAUUAUUUCCUAGUAAAAACAAGUAAAAAUAAUCUUUGUGCUCAAAUUGAAAUUUUGUAAUAAAUUCUUUUGAUACAAGAAGUGUAAAUAACUUUUCUUGAAAAUUAAAUACAAAUGAAAUUGAAUCAAAUCACUUGAAGAAAAUAUUUUGUAAAUACGUAAAUUGAAAUCACUUAUUCAAAAUUGUUUUUAAUAAAAUCAUUUGAAAUUUUCAGAAAACUAAUUUUUUUUUCAAAUAUUUUUUUAAUUAGUUCAAUAAAUCAAUUUGCAUAAUCCUCUUGUCACUUAUUUUGUGUAUCAUUGUAAUUAGGUUUCAUCAUUAUUUUUGUGUAUAUUGAUUUUCAUCGUGAUUUGUACAUACUCAUUUGCAUGAUUAUUUUUUUUAUUAUCCAUAAUUAAUUAAUUAAUUGUCACGAUCCCUUAAUUCGUUUAGUAGAAGUCGUACGUAUACGGGCUUAGAGAGGUGCUAUGGCUCACUACCGUACCUUCCUAAUAAGUAACCUGACCCCCAUACCCAGACUCGAUUUUUCACAGACUUAUUUUUCCUUCAAGAGUCAUACUUGGAAUUUUUCUUUCUUAUUUUGUUUUUCCCUUAAAAAAAAAUGGCAAUUCCAAGUCUUUUUCUAAAAAUUAAAUUUUCACAAAAUUCGUAGAAUGCAAACCUCCCACUAUGAUGAGACAUUCGUGCACUAGAAGUAUCAAGAAAGGAAUGUGCUUAUACCUAUAGAACCAUAGUACUCUAUGCAAUAUGAGAAAGAGAUGUGUUUAUACCGUUCCAUAGUACCUUGUGUAAUAUGGGAUUAUCUUCGAAUGUCCUCCGGUCUAUAUCAUUCUUUGCUUUAUUUUUAUCAUAUAUUUUUCAUCAUAAGUUGAUGUUUGUAUCAACAAAUGCUUUCUAAUUGUCUUGACUAUAAAGGUAAUAAUCCUUAAAAUCCUCUUGAAUAUCUUAUAAACUGAUAUGCCUCUUACCUUAUUUCCAACUAGUUUACAUUUGAGUUCAACACGAGUAUUGGACACUCUUAUAUGCAAAUAUUUUUGUAAACCAAGUUUACAACGUGUCCACAUAUCUAGAAGUCAAAGUUACCAACCUAGUAAUGGAAGUAAAAUACAGUCUCCAAGGCAUAUCCCAAACAGAUAUGGGAAGUGAUGAGAAACCAAUUGUCAAUCUCAUUAUAUCUAUCAAAGUUCAAUUUCUUUUUUCCAUUACCCCAUUUGUAAUGAAGUCCUUGGUGCACACAAUUAGGAUAUAAUCACGUGUUCCUAUGGAAAGAAUUGAACCUACUAGACACACCACCUUGAUUUAAUUGAAGUGCAAUGAUAUGUUAACCCAAUAGAUCAUUUGAUUUUGCCUUAAAUACACCAAAUUUAUCUAAGGCAUCAAGUUUCAUAUAUACUAAAUACACAUAUCCAAACCUAGAGUAUUAAAAAAUAAAAGUGAUAAAGCACCCAUACCCUCCUCAUGUAUGAACUCCAAAGUUACAUACAUGUCAAUAUGUACUAACUCCAAACAUUCAUUAGCUCUAUAUCCUUUUGCAAUAAAAGUCUCUUGGUUAUUUUAUCACCUAUACAGGAUUCACAAAUUGGAAGAUCCUUUGGAACCAAAGUGUUUAUACUUAAUCAAUCUUUGGAUCCUGUUUAGAUUUAUAUGACUUAGGCAUUAGAAGUCAAAUGUUUGAUUAAUGCUAGGUUCAUUAUUAAGAUCUAACAAUUCUCAUUACUUAGCAAAGUGGUAAUGGAGUCACACAUAAAAGAGAAAGGUAAUUCCUCCCAGUAGCUUGCACAACUAACCUUGCAAUUGAAGCUAAGAUAAGUACAUCCCCAUUAUGAAACCUUCUCUAUAUCGAAUAUCUUGUAAUUAAUUACAGAUAAUGGGCCUAAAAUGAAUCCACCACUAAAUUUAUUCAACAAUGACUCUAUGAUGUGUACCUUUCUACUCUUAGGCAAUAUGCACAUUCCUUUUUCAAUAUCUCAAAGGGUUACAAAGAAAUUACUCUUCUUGACCUUAUACUCAUUCAUUUUCUUGAACUUUCCUUAUUUGAUGUUAUUCUUCUUCUCUUUGGUAGAAGAGCUUGAGAAACCUCUAACUUCCAUAUGAACACUUUUCAGUUUUUUGAAAUCCUCUUAUCCAUCCUAAUGGAAUUUGGUAAGAUCUUUAAGAUCAUAUAAACUAUGAUGUUCAAAAUAGUCCUAAGGGCAACUUGUUUAUUUAACUUGAAAAAAUAUAAAUUAAGUGGGACCCACUUAUUUUAUUUUAGUUCUAAUUUUAUUAAAAAUAAAUAUAUUUUAUAAAUAAAUAAAUAUUAUAAAAUUUUAGACCUAUUUUAUCUAAGAAGUAGAUUGUUUUUAUUAUUGUAUGUGUUAAAAAUAAAAUAAAAAUUAAAUUAAAUUAUUUUAAAAUUUAACUACAUAUAUAAUUGGAACAUAACAUAAUAAGACAAUAUUUUAUCUUAUCUCAAAUUAUAAUAACUACAAAUUUUUAUAAUUAGUUUGAAGAAAGAAAUUACUAUUUUUGUUACCAGAUGAGGCAUUCCUUCAUCCAAAUUUAGUUCAAAUGGGUUUGCAAAAUUUUUUUCAAAGAAGUGAAUGUUCACAUGGGCUUUAUUUGAUUGGAAAGAGUUGAAGCAAGUUCUUAUGUUGUUAAUUAGUUUAGCAAUUAUCAAUUGUCAUUAGAGCUAACAUUCUUUUGUUAUAGUAGGUUCUCUAUGCUUCUAGAAUCUUCCAAUUGUAUCUCCACUCAAAUAUAAUAACUUAAGAAGAUCAAAAGUCCUGAACAAUUGUUGAAAACUCAUACAUAAGAUACUAUGAAAUUGUUUCUCUAUUCAUUGUUUUUUUUAAUAUGGUAUCAAAGCCAUUUGACUUACCUCUAUGGCUUAAGUUGCAACAAUGACAAUUAGUGUCUUCUCAUCGAGCACCUCCAAUGGCAACUCCCUCAUUGACAUUCUCAUCCAUACUUUCUCCACUAUCUUUGAAACUCACAAGGAACAACUAUGGAUUUUGGCACUUACAAAUUCUUCUUAUUGUGCAAGCUCUUGAUCUUGAAGGUUAUUUGCUUAGAACAAUAGUGUGUCCCCCUUGUUUCAUCUUGAACAGAAAUGAAAACUCUUUAAUAAUCAAUCUAUAAUUUGUGACCUAGGCCAUAAUAGACCAAUUCAUCUUGAGUGGGCUUCUUUUUUUUUUUUUCUUUCUAAGCCAAUGUUUGGUCGUAUUGUUCAAUGUAAAACUGUUGUUGAAGUGUGGCAUAUUUUUUUAUCAUUUGUUCUUCAUCAACUCCAAAUCUCGAGUACAACAUCUUCAAUAUACGUUUUUGUAAGAAGCUUUUAAGGGUUCUUUGAGUAUUGCUAACUAUUUUCUACGAAUGAAGGAGAUUGUUGAUACUUUGUCUGCAAUUGGUAAGCCUAUCGCUAAUGAGCAAUUGUUGAUGUGCAUCUUUGGUGGUUUAGUCAUGAAUUUGAUGAUGUAAUUGUCAAUCUUCAAUCAAGAAAAGAUUUUGUCUUUGUUGAAGAAGCUCGGUUUCUUUUUCAAAAUUAUGAGAUGAGAAUUAAAAAACUCAACUCUAUUUCAAGAAUCAAUAAUCGACCCUUUAAUAACUUUGUUGCCAAGGCCACAAAAGAAAUAAGUACCAUUUCUCUAGAGCUCCUAACGUAGUUCUUUUGUAGUGGUCAUAUUGCAUUGAAGUGUUACCAUUGGUUCAACAUUAGCUUCAUAGAACCACCACAACAAUAGCAAUACAAAAAUUAUGCUCAAUAAGACACUCAUUCACAAGACAAUGCUCAAGCUUACUUUGUCAUGGUAGCCACAUUUUAUGAUCUUAAUUGGUAUAUGGAUACAAAAGCAACAAAUCGCAUUACUACUAAUCUCAACAAUCUAACCCUCAAGAUAGACUACAAAAGCAAAGAAACACUUGAUGUAGACAAUGGUAAUUCUCUAAAAAUACGUCGUAUUGAUUUUUUAACUAUAUCCUCUAGUUUUUCACCGCAACCAUUAUAUCUCAAGGAUAUCUUAUACAUACAUAUAAUUACAAAAAUUUUAUGUAGCAUCUCUAAAUUCAUCGAGGACAACAAUAUAGUUGUCGAAUUAUAUGAUGAUUGUUGUCUUGUGAAGGACAAGAACAUGAGGAGGAUUUUGAUGUAGGGCAAGCUUAAAGGAGGGCUUUAUCAACUUGAUGUUCUAGUUUUCUCAAGAAACUUGAAAACUUUCUCGACCUCUAGCUUCAAUUUUCCUUUAGUGUCUUUAGCACAUGUUAAAUCUAAUGAGUCUUCUACGAAGGUUAUGGACACUUGGAAUAGCAGGCUUGGUAAACCUUAUGACCAAGUGUUGAAGAAUGUACUCACGAUUUUACAUUUGUCUCUUAUAGCUAAGAAUCUUCAAUUCUGUGAAGCUAGUCAGUAGGAAAAAACAUGCUAGAUGUUUUUAGAGCUAAGGACUUUGCUUCUAGAAUCUUCUAAUUGUAUCUACUCUUAAAUAUAACUCAAGAAGAUCAAAAGCCCUAUUAAAUUGCUGGAAACUCCUAUGAAGAAACACUUUGAAAUUGUUUCUCUUAUUAAUUUUGUAUGCUUUAGAUCAAUGUCACAUGAAACUAUGGGGGCAAACCCAUCUAAAAAAAGGCCCCUCUUUCCUCAGACCCCUUCUUGUAUUUCUUUUUCUUAAUCACUAAAAGGCCUUAUUCCCUACAAAUUUUCUUGCAAACCAAACAUCAGGGGGAAACUUCAACCUUUCUUUCAUUACUUUCCCCCACCCUCCCUCAACAGAACACUUUAGCUUAAUUACAAAGCUCCGACAGUACUUCAAAGAUUGGAAAAAAUACACAAGGGAGAAACAGAAAAACUAAUCAAAAUUCCAUAGAUUUACCAAAUUCUCACUGGAUCUAGAAGAAAAAACAUACAAAGAUCGUCUCAUCUACAUACAAAACCUCUCACAUAUCCUUCAGACAUGAAACAUCCCUAGAACCCUUAUCCACAGCUGCUGCAGUCAACCUCUCAGCGACUAAGUGUGGGAAGCAACAAUCCACUUGGGUCAACCAGGAAACCCCAAUAUUCCUCCAUGAAGACUCCAACACCAGUAAAACAACAUACAGAAACACCACCACAGAGAUUGCAGUGGAGAGACAAAGCUGAUCUUCUGUCAAACUCAACAACAUCUUCACACAUAGAAAUGUUUGGGGUUGGGUUGUGAGGAGUGGAGACAGAGAUAAAAGGAAGCUAUAUGCAGAUGGGAAAGGAGUUGUUUCAAUGAAUUUGGUAUGGUGGAUGAAUCAAAGGUGUUCAAUCAGUGAGUGUCAGAGGGGGGCGCAUGAAGACUUCUGAGUGAAGUCAUGAUGAGGGUGUGGGCACCAUUCAUUGAAUAUGAGUGCAUGUUGCUGUGGGUUAUCACCCUUUAUCAUAUUCUUUUGAUGGAAUCUCGCUCUAUGUUCAUGCAUCACUGUUAUGUUCCCUACAAUACAUGCAUCUUCUUAGGGAGAUCAAAAAUUAGAAACAUUUGUCAUUAUCUUCUAGAAUGCAAUUUUACC